Long non-coding RNA from Peromyscus californicus insignis, 1457 nucleotides. RefSeq lists it as uncharacterized. Lineage: Eukaryota; Metazoa; Chordata; Mammalia; Rodentia; Cricetidae. The transcript has 3 exons. The record is from RefSeq and is a predicted model, not a curated record.
UAUGUCCUGAUCCACAGGCUGAGGGGGGAGGGGUGGCAUGGACUUUCGAAACCUCCAAGUCCACUCCAAUGACACACUUCUUCCAAUAAGGCCAUACCUGUGGUGAUAUUUUCUUGUGCUCUAACAAUUAAAGCUUGCCUGGAGAUCAGAGUGUUUACCUAGCUACUAGUUAACCAUAGAGGCCAGGCAGUGGUGACACACAUCUUAAAUCCCAGUACUUAUGAUGUCAUGCCUUUGAUUCCAGCACUUGGGAGGCACACACCUUUAAUUCCAGCACUAGGGAGGAGAAAACAGAAGUGAUAUGGCUGGACGGAGAGAGGAACAUAAAGCGUACAAUGACAGGAGCUCGGUCCCCUUUCAGACUAAGGAUUUGGUGAGGAUCCCCUAAAGAUGCCAUCACCCCCAGAGAGCAGGAAGUAAUUUUAAGAACAUGACUCCCACAUUCCAAAGAGGAGACAUGUCUGUUCCUGGAAGCAUCAAUCUACUUAAGAGAAGAUAAUGGGCAUCAAAGAAACUCCAUAUGAAGUUUAUUUACUUUGUGGCAAAAAUUAGCCACUGGGCAAGAAAAUGUCCUUGCAUUGACUGCUGACAGACAGUACACUGUCCAAAUGGGACAAGCAGGACACAAAAGAAAGGACUGCAGAACUUUGUCAAGACAAGGUAGAAUAACCCUUCAGAAAAUCCUGCUUCACAGAUAAGCCUGUCAGAUAUUUUAGACCUGUAGGCUGAAGAUGGAUGCCCCGACAUUACAGAGGAACCUCGAGUGACUGUCCAGGUAGCCAGCUGUUUUUGUCAUUUCUCAUAUUUUUAGAAGUCACUUGCCUGCACUUCCUGCUUGCUCAGGUAAUAUUAUUUCCUUCUCGAGUCUCUGAUGGGGUUGAAGACUUUAUAGUUAUAGUUUUCCUUGUUACCUGAUUCAGAGAAGAAAUUCACUAAAGAGGUGUAAAGUGUAUGAUGUUGAGAGACAUUGAAAGAUAGUUUGGGGGGCUUGAGAGAUGGUUCAGAGGUUAAAAGCACUGGCUGCUCUUCCAGAGGUCCUGAGUUCAAUUCCCAGCAACCACAUGGUGGCUCACAACCAUCCCUAAUGAGCUCUUGUGCCCUCUUCUGGCGUCCAGUCAUACAUGCAGACAGAACAUUGUAUAUAUAAUAAAUAAAUAAAUCUUUAAAAAAAAAGUUUUGGUAAUGCAAGUUAGAAUAGAAAGUGAAUUAGGUGCAACUUUUUGGACUCACCAAGAUAGGGUAGAUAUGGAGUAUUUUCUCUGAAUUUGUCAAUUGUUAAUGGACUAGACAUUGCUGAUGCAUUUAUUGCCUGUACAUAUUAUAUAUAGUUAUUGUACUUAUUGUAUGUAGUUUUAUUUACAUUAGUUAUAAUGUUCUUUUUUUAAAUUUUAUCAAAAAGGGGGAAAUGUGGUGAUAUUUUGUUUGUGCUCUAACAAUUAAAGCUUGCCUGGAGAUCA